AUGUUCGUUUUCAUAUUUUUAUGUUAGUUUGGAAAAUGAGUUUUCUUCUGUUGCGUUUAAAUAUGUAUGGGCUUCGUUCGUUUUUUGGGUUUAUCGUUUAAUUUUGGUGAUGUUGUCCUUUUGAAUCAUGCGUUCAAAUAGAUUUUAGGGUUUUAGAAUGCUGCAGCAGUCGACGCCUGUGUAGAAAGAUGUCUGGUUAUGUGAUUUGCUGAAGCAGAGGUUGGGAAAAGAGAGAGGGGGUAUAAGAAGUGUGGUUAGGCAUGAGUGGUGGAGGUAGAGAGUUUGCGUUUUGCUGUUUGGUGGGUUUUCCUUUUGGCCAUCUCAUUGUUUUGAUCCGUUAGUUAUUUAAGCAAAUUGUUAUGGGUGUGUUGUUUUUUAGAGUCUCCCUUUCUUCGUAUGAGGGUGAUGCCAUUGAUUGAUGAUUAGUCACACUAUUAAUUGCACUGACAAUUUAGUCUUAGUUAUGGAUUUGCAGUGGAUAGAGUUCAUUUUGCGAAGUACAAAAUUGCAUUCACACUUUAGUCUUGGUGUAAAGCAAUAAUUGGCGUAUUGAUUUCAACUCAUCGUUCUCAAGUAUUCUUAAUCUCGCAGGAUGAAGUUGUUGCUAUUAGUGGUGGUGGCUGAGGUGUUUGUUUCUUGGUGUUAAAACUUGGGCAUGCAAGACAGGGUGGAAAAGAUAGCGAAAGUACAAAUGGUUGUUAAACUCUCCAUGUCUUCCUUUCAGACCAUGGGAUAAAUGGAAACUGUGCGCCCAACUCCUGUUAAUCAGUUAAUACCAUACAUAAAGGCGGACAAAAUCAAAAUUCGCAUAUGCAGGAUUUGGAAAUUGACGAUUCCAGGAACCGUUCAAAAGUCUACAAACCUGCACUGCAUAUUGGUUGAUGAAGCGCAACAUGCGGUUGAGGCCUCUACAUUGGAUGUUGAUUAUGAUGUCAUGGCUUAAAAAAUUGAAGAUGGUGCAUGCUAUGAAAUCACCGAAUUUCAAACUAUUAGAAUUAGGGCACAAUACAAGGUGGUGCUGCAUGAAACUCAGGUUUUGUUCACCUCGAAAACAGCUUUCCGAAAAUUAGCAAGUGUGUUUCCGCCCAUCCCUCGCCAUCGAUUUUUCCUACAAGACUAUAACACACUCUACCCUCGCUUAAACAGAGUUGACAUCCUCACAGAUGUCAUUGGUCAUAUAAGCGUUGUGCAGCGGCUGGAACCUAAACAAAUUAAUCAAAGGGUUAUGUACAAGUGUGAUGUGGUUAUCCAAAAUAUUAGGUUAUUUUUCACUUCUUAUCCCUAUUCUUACAUACUGUUUUCAAUAUUUGUUGCUUUGGUGGUAUAAAAAGGUCAAAAAUUUAUUUGUCGUUUCUUUAUCGACAGAAAAGAGGAACUAAUGGUUAUGUUGUGGGCAGACGUUGCUGAAGCUUUUUCUUCUUUGUCAGCAGAGGAAUUUUCUUUGUCAGUCAUUGUUGUUUUCACAAGUCUGAAAGUCAAGAUCUACCUCGGUUUUGUGAUUGUAAAGAAGCUCUGGACAUACUUUCUCCCUCUGCAAUCCAACGAAACGAAGCUCAAAUUUUGCAGACUGCUAAAAAAGCUACAAUUGAUGAAUUGGCUUUUUUGGAUCCAGAUUUGCAUAAGGAUGAUACAUUUGUGUGUAGAGCAUCUGUCAAGCGUUUUGACAUGCGGUUCAACUAGUGGUACAGUGCUUGCCCGAACUGCUUGAAACAGGUGCACAAGGAUCCAACCAUUGGGCAGCUCAUUUGUCAAAAACAUCCAAACCAAAUACCAACGCUGUGGUACAAAGUCAAUCUCAUUCUUGAAGAUGAAACAAAUGAAAUGAAUGCUUUGAUAAUCGGUAAAUGUGGUGAAAAGCUUUUUGGCAUGCCUUGCAAAGACCUGGUAUUAAAUCAAAGACUGGUAGAGCAACAACAGUUGCCAAACGAAUUUCUCAGGCUUAUUGGAUAGAAGAAAAUUUUUCACUUGCGAUUUGGCAACAGGAGGAAUACUUUUUAUUCAAAUGAUAUCCUCAUUCAUAACGUGACUGAAGACACAGUUAUGCAGCCAGCAACUCCACAACCUUUGUCAAGAGAAAUCAUAGUGUCUUCCACCAUUGCUUCAUCUUCGACCUCAACAGUUUAACCCAAUGAGCAGUCGUUUAAACGAAAAAGGGAAUCAAUCAGGCAAGCUCUUUUCACUGGCGGUGAACAAAGUGGAGUAGAGGAAAUUUCAGACACGGAUCCAAGAGAGUUGGAUGAAGUCCUGAUCAAAUUGCUAAAAAAGAACCCAUCCUCAACUGCUGGAAAAUUAGAUGCUACCCCUCCAAAAAAAAGCUAGGUUGGUUUCUUGAAAGGGAACAAUGCAGCAACAUAAGUUGACCUCCAUUGAUAAAAAAUCAUGAUGGUUUUUUGUUAACAUGUAUAAAACAAUAUUUAUGCUAUUUCCCUGUCAUGUAAAUAUGUUUCUGAUCUGAACUUCAAAACAUUUUUUGCCUGUACAUAAACCAGCAUUUGCCAGUGUUUUGUAUCCCAAUGCUGGCUGUGGUUGAAAAGCAGUUCCAGGUACUAAGAUCCAGCAUAUGCCUGGAAUAUUUUUUGUGUAUGUAAACAACCAACUGGUAACCUUUUUUUAUCUAUAUCGUACAAAUUAAAGAUUUCAUUUGUAAGCCUAUUGCAACCUGUGUGUUUUCAAUGGUGUUUACAUUUUGUGAUGUUAUUUUUACAUCUUCUGGACAUGGUGGUCAGUAUACUUUGAGUUGAGACCUACAAUGUUUUUCAAUUGGCAUACAACCAAGUUCUGGUAAACCUUUUUUCUCCAUAUGGCCCAUUUCUUUAUUUAUUCUUUUUCUUAUUUGAGUGUUUGAUAUAUAGGUAAAGUUUAUGUUUAAAUUUUCUUUUUAUGACUGCAGAUUUUGUCUCCACAAUCAGAUGCUAGAUGUCACUGUCUCAUCUCAUUCUUCUUCGCUUUUAGGAACUGCCAAUGCUUCAAUUUCGUCUUUUGUUCAAGUGAAGUUGAGAUUGAUACGAAAGAAGUACGUGUGAUCGCUGCUGUCAAGGUACGGAAUUGAUUAACCUCGACUUUUAAUUGCUUUUCCACUUAUUAAUUUCCGUUUCCAUGUGGAUUCGAAGUUCUUUUCCUUUGCAAUUCUUUGUCUUCAUUUUUCUUACACUUAGUGACUGAGGUUUCCAUUGAUUACAUCCCACUCCUUCUCAUCUGUUCCAAAACUGACUCUUCAAUAUGCAACCAAAAUUUUAACUCAAUUUCUCCUGCGGAUUAAUUUCUUUUUCAGCAAUGCAAUUUUUUUACAUUUUGUAAUUCAUUAAGUUCACAAUUCCUUUCAACUCUCUACAUGUUGAGACCAGCCUCUGUCUUUUCCUUUUCGUUAUGCACUUCACAAGUUACAAUCUUUUCAACGGAAUAUUUUCAGUGAAUUCCAAACAUUGGUCUUCGUGGUUCUCAUCAUUGCAUUGUAAAAAGUUGUCAUUUGGUAUAGAUGAUCUUGGUUUAGCAAAUUGAUAGCGAGAUGGAACACUCCUAACUGCAUUGCAACUCCUAACUACGUUAUAAGGUUGUACAGGAGCAAGGCGUAGCACCGCAGCAUCGCGCGGGCAGUCUUGCUAGUUGGUACUAAAUUGUGGGUACUCAAGUAUUGUUUAUUUUAUUUUUUCAUUUCUUUUAAGACCCCUACUGGAUUUAUCUUAAACUCUCACAUUAUAUAUAAAUGUUGUAUUACUUUUUAAAAAGUAAUGUAAAUAUUGUUUAAUGCUUA
Non-coding RNA from Malus domestica (apple), 3751 nucleotides. The record is from RefSeq and is a predicted model, not a curated record. Lineage: Eukaryota; Viridiplantae; Streptophyta; Magnoliopsida; Rosales; Rosaceae.